RNAcentral lists this ribosomal RNA (439 nucleotides) under uncultured bacterium. Its description in RNAcentral is "partial 16S ribosomal RNA". It matches the Rfam family "Bacterial small subunit ribosomal RNA", at positions 339 to 795 of the family's 1533-position model. The record is from RNAcentral.
CUACGGGCCGCUGCAGUGGGGAAUAUUGCACAAUGGGGGAAACCCUGAUGCAGCAACACCGCGUGGAGGAUGACACUUUUCGGAGCGUAAACUCCUUUUAUAUAGGAAGAUAAUGACGGUACUAUAUGAAUAAGCACCGGCUAACUCCGUGCCAGCAGCCGCGGUAAUACGGAGGGUGCAAGCGUUACUCGGAAUCACUGGGCGUAAAGAGCGUGUAGGCGGGUUAAUAAGUCAGAAGUGAAAUCCAAUGGCUCAACCAUUGAACUGCUUUUGAAACUGUUAACCUAGAAUAUGGGAGAGGUAGAUGGAAUUUCUGGUGUAGGGGUAAAAUCCGUAGAGAUCAGAAGGAAUACCGAUUGCGAAGGCGAUCUACUGGAACAUUAUUGACGCUGAGACGCGAAAGCGUGGGGAGCAAACAGGAUUAGAUACCCGGGUAGUC